AUGAGAUUCUCCUAUCUCGGUGUACUCUUCCACGGUUUCCACCUGCUACUUUCAGUUCUUCUUUCAAGGACCAAGCAGAACAAGUCUAAUCCCUCAUCUGUGUUUAGCAACCAACAAAUUCAGAUCUGGGAUUCUGAGCUAAAGGUGGAGAGAAUGAGCCACAACGACCCAAGUAGUCAGAGCCUGAGCCAGGAUUUGACCCUGGGGAUCUUCUGCCUGCAAGGUCAGUACUCUCUGUAUAUGUCCUCAGUGGGUGUUCUGAGCUUGCUGAGAACCAAACUGGAGAUAAGUCACAUGGUCAGCUAAGCCAGCAUUGGCAUACGUGCUGCCCCCUGGCAUGGGGGAGCUUCUCUGUUCCAUUUUUUGCAUGCCCCAGCCACCCAAAGCAAGCACUUCUCCCCUCAGCUCUCUCUGGCAAUGGGGGGGGGGUUCACACGCAGCUUGAAUUUGCCCUCUGGGCACUCGAACUCAAAAAAUUUAGCAGAUGCUGAGGUAGGCCAUGUCAAAGCCAGGAUUCUAGAAGCUUCCUGAUUCUAGCUCUACUGGGCCUCAGUGCAUCUGUUGGCAGGGGCCAAAGUCUCCAGGUAUCAGGUGAUUCGGUGACAAUGGGCAAGUCAAGAGCAUCCUUCCCUGAGCCUCAGUUUCCUCCUUCUGGAAGUUGUGGAUAAUAAUAGCCUUUACCUAGCAGGCUCACUGUGAGGGUGUCAUAAAGUGCUUUUGCAAACCUUAUGGUACUCCAUAAAUGCCAGACGUGAGAAUAACAGCUAGAAGCAUUCUUAUUGUCACUUCAACCAAGAGAGCACAUACAGAAGGAGGGGUGGAGAUGCCUCUCUCUCUCAGGACACUGGUGCUUGGGGGAGUCUCAGCACAUCAUUACUUAGUGUGAUUUAACAGCACUGAAGUUGGUCAUCCCAGCUGUUAUCUAGCUCAGGGUAAUUUAAUUCAUCACACAUGGAUGGCUUUACUCCCAGAGGAGAACUGAGUCCCUGGAGGAGGAGGAGAAUAUUAUUAUUUACAGGUGAAUUCCUUUCUUUUCCCUAGACCCAUGAUUGUGCACAGCAGCCGUCACUUUCUUUCACUGGCUUCCUGAUCUCCGUUUUAUCUUUUGUCCUUUGGAGAGCUGCUGAACUCCAGGUUGGUCGAGGCCAAGAUGCAACUUGGUAAGCAGUGAGGCCCUUGCUUUGGAGGUCCUCUCCCUGAAGGGAUUGAUCCCGGCAAGAAUUCUCUCCCCCAGUAGUAAUGCAAGCUGGGGUUCUCUGCCCAUCAGCAAAGGUGUAGUGGCUCGUAUCCUGGAGCCUAGUAGCCA
RNAcentral lists this long non-coding RNA (1306 nucleotides) under Monodelphis domestica (gray short-tailed opossum). Its description in RNAcentral is "lncRNA (ENSMODG00000041360.1)". Lineage: Eukaryota; Metazoa; Chordata; Mammalia; Didelphimorphia; Didelphidae. The record is from RNAcentral.